GAUGAAGAACGUAGCGAAAUGCGAUAAGUAGUGUGAAUUGCAGAAUUCAGUGAAUCAUCGAAUCUUUGAACGCACAUUGCGCCCCUUGGUAUUCCAUGGGGCAUGCCUGUUCGAGCGUCAUUUGUACCUUCAAGCUUUGCUUGGUGUUGGGUGUUUGUCCAUUCUCUUGCAGAGGGACUCGCCUUAAAGUAAUUGGCAGCCAGUGUUUUGGUUUUGAAGCGCAGCACAAGUCGCGAUUCAACGCUAUACGCCAGCUUCCACAAGCCUUUUUCACUUUUGACCUCGGAUCAGGUAGGGAUACCCGCUGAACUUAAGCAUAUCAAUAACGGAGGA
Molecule: unclassified non-coding RNA, 333 nt
Filed under: soil metagenome
Description: partial contains 5.8S ribosomal RNA, internal transcribed spacer 2, and large subunit ribosomal RNA
Rfam family: 5.8S ribosomal RNA (bases 1-120)
Source: RNAcentral